RNAcentral lists this non-coding RNA (24 nucleotides) under Arabidopsis thaliana (thale cress). Lineage: Eukaryota; Viridiplantae; Streptophyta; Magnoliopsida; Brassicales; Brassicaceae. The record is from RNAcentral.
UGGAUUCAUGUGAAAUACUACGCC